RNAcentral lists this ribosomal RNA (468 nucleotides) under uncultured bacterium. RNAcentral's name for it is "partial 16S ribosomal RNA". It matches the Rfam family "Bacterial small subunit ribosomal RNA", at positions 28 to 507 of the family's 1533-position model. The record is from RNAcentral.
GACGAACGCUGGCGGCGCGCCUAACACAUGCAAGUCGAACGGAGCUGCGAGAAGCUUGCUUUUCUUAGCUUAGUGGCGAACGGGUGAGUAACGCGUGAGUAACCUGCCCUGGAGCGGGGGACAACAGUUGGAAACGACUGCUAAUACCGCAUAAGCCCACGAUCCGGCAUCGGAUUGAGGGAAAAGGAUUUAUUCGCUUCAGGAUGGACUCGCGUCCAAUUAGCUAGUUGGUGAGGUAACGGCCCACCAAGGCGACGAUUGGUAGCCGGACUGAGAGGUUGAACGGCCACAUUGGGACUGAGACACGGCCCAGACUCCUACGGGAGGCAGCAGUGGGGGAUAUUGCACAAUGGGGGAAACCCUGAUGCAGCGACGCCGCGUGGAGGAAGAAGGUUUUCGGAUUGUAAACUCCUGUCGUUAGGGACGAUAAUGACGGUACCUAACAAGAAAGCACCGGCUAACUACGUG